Long non-coding RNA from Rhagoletis zephyria (snowberry fruit fly), 179 nucleotides. RefSeq lists it as uncharacterized. The record is from RefSeq and is a predicted model, not a curated record. Lineage: Eukaryota; Metazoa; Arthropoda; Insecta; Diptera; Tephritidae.
UUACAACAACAACAAACAUAAAUGCAGAAUAGCUUCGAUUCUCAAAUAAAAAAAACAUAUGGGGAUCGAUAGAGACCAUUGAGGUGAGUAUAACGGUAUAUUUCUCUUCUUGCGGAAACAACAAUUGCAAAAUUUAUUAAGGGUCAAAGUUCCAAGUAAAAAAAUUUUUAAAUCAAAAU